UAAACUUCAAUGGGACAAAAGUUAGCUUCGGAAUUACUUUUUUUUAGCUAAAAUAAAAAAUACAUACACACAGAGGUACACGGAGGAAUAUGCAUAGAUUAAAUUUUAAUUGGAAGAGAAAAGCGACUUCCGGCAGCUUAUAUCGUCCGACUGUCGAUCGAAAGUUAGAUUAUUGGGGCAAAGGAAGCGAAAUCCCACGUCGUGGCUCACGUAUGUUAGAGAUUCCCGUUCGCACUUUGUGACGCAAUUGUUUUGAACCGAUUUGCCCUUCUCGACGUAUCGGCUCAACUUUCUACCCCGACGCUCCAGGCGAGAGAACGUCUCGACGCUCGUCUUCUUGCACGUCCAGUUCUCACGUAACCACGGACUAAUUAUGCUCUGCAGCAAAUAUCAAAAAUCUCGAUACAAACGAAGGUCACACGAGUAAAUUGGCGACAGGAACGCGUGUCGCUUGGGUGGGAUUGAUAUUUCUGGUUGAUCGGUAGGAGAAUUCAAGUCGAACUGCUCAGCGAGAAUUUCUUGCCGGGCUAAAUCGAAUUCACGAG
Cephus cinctus (wheat stem sawfly) is the source of this 545-nucleotide long non-coding RNA. RefSeq lists it as uncharacterized. The transcript has 3 exons. NCBI's taxonomy places the organism in Eukaryota, Metazoa, Arthropoda, Insecta, Hymenoptera, Cephidae. The record is from RefSeq and is a predicted model, not a curated record.